This 465-nucleotide ribosomal RNA is filed under the name uncultured bacterium. RNAcentral describes it as "partial 16S ribosomal RNA". It matches the Rfam family "Bacterial small subunit ribosomal RNA", at positions 28 to 507 of the family's 1533-position model. The record is from RNAcentral.
GACGAACGCUGGCGGCGUGCUUAACACAUGCAAGUCGAACGGUAAGGCCCUUGCGUGGGUACACGAGUGUCGAAGGGGGGAGUAACACGUGAGUAACCUGCCCACAACUUUGGGAUAACGCUAGGAAACUGAAACUGAUACUAGAUAUGUGCUCCUGCUGCAUGGUGGGGGUUGGAAAGCUCCGGCGGUUUUGGAUGGACUCGCGGCCUAUCAGCUUGUUGGUGGGGUAGUGGCCUACCAAGGCGGCGACGGGUAGCCGGCCUGUGGGGGUGACCGGCGACACUGGGACUGAGAUAAGGCACCGACACCUACUGUAGGCCGCUGUGGGGAAUCUUGCCCAAUCGGCGCCAGCCUGAUGCAGAAACGCCGCGUGCGGGAUGACGGUCUUAGGGUUGUAAAACGAUUUCAGCAGGAACGAAGCUUUUUGUGACGGUACCUGCAGAAGAAGCACCGGCUAACUACGUG